Molecule: small RNA, 1145 nt
Filed under: Histoplasma ohiense
Lineage: Eukaryota; Fungi; Ascomycota; Eurotiomycetes; Onygenales; Ajellomycetaceae
Description: hypothetical lncRNA
Source: RNAcentral
GGCCACUCAAGCCAACCAAACCUCAUCUCUUUUCUUCGAACAUUCAACAUCAACGUUUGUCAACAUCACUGUUUACUGCGGUAUUACCAACGCAAUUGUCGCACCAAUCACUACCAUCUACAACAUGAGCCCCAUCCCAGACGCUGACCCCGACGAACCCGUCGAAACCAAGCCUUUCAAAUUCGUUACUGCCGGUAUGUAAUAAAGAGAGAAAUGAGCUUUAGGAUAAGGAGCACAAUCAUUUCCCCAUGGCUUCCCCUACAUUCCGAAGGACCCAUUGAAAAAACACCGACUUUAAAGGUCAAAUGGCUGACCUUGCCACGAUAAAACAAACAAAUAAGGCUACGAUGCCCGUUUCCCCAAUCAAAACCAAACGAAACACUGCUGGCAAAAUUAUGUCGACUACCACAAGUGCAUCAUAGCCAAGGGUGAAGACUUCCGCCCUUGCAAACAGUUCUAUCUCGCCUACAGAUCACUCUGCCCGAAGGGUUGGACCGACAGAUGGGAUGACCAACGCGAAGCCGGCAACUUCCCCGCCCGUCUCGAUCGGUAGUCGAUGUGCAUUAUAUUAAAAGAGUCCGUUGUCGAUGAAUUAUAGAGGAUUGAAAGGAAUUUUUGUUUUAUUUUAAACAAAAGGAGAUGGACAAUAAUAAAAAAAAAUGAUCAGUGGACACAAGCUCUGUAUCAAAUAUAUCAACAUAACACGGGACAUCUAUGAAUUAUUCCCCUGUACAUGAGUGCAAACUCACCUCUCAGACGCCCACCUCCCCACAUUUUUUUUGUAAUAGUAGACAAUGGUCAAUUAAUGGUCAAUCAGCAACUUUGAGAGGACCUUCCAAUGCAUAUACAGGAUAUAUUUUGAAAAAAAAAUACGUUUAGGAAGUCGUCUAUUCUCACGUUAUUUUCUUUACUUCAAUUUUGGUUGCAAUUUUGUUUUCAGAAAAGACAGGGCAAAAUAUUCAGUUGUUCCUGCCUAUCCUCGGUAGUUUUCAUUCGCGGGAGUGAUAUGUCAUUUUAUUAGACUCUUGAAAUAACAAGAUGAGCAGACAAGUCACAAUGAAAUGACAUGUGUAGCUCACGAAGGUUGAACUCGUGUUUUCUACACGAUUAUCUCAUUCAUCCCGGGCCUAGCUGCAAGAAUAACG